Molecule: ribosomal RNA, 585 nt
Filed under: uncultured Spiroplasma sp.
Lineage: Bacteria; Bacillati; Mycoplasmatota; Mollicutes; Entomoplasmatales; Spiroplasmataceae
Description: bacterial SSU rRNA
Rfam family: Bacterial small subunit ribosomal RNA
Source: RNAcentral
GAGUUUGAUCCUGGCUCAGGAUUAACGCUGGCGGCAUGCCUAAUACAUGCAAGUCGAACGGAGUAGCAAUACUUAGUGGCGAACGGGUGAGUAACACGUAUCUAAUCUACCAUUUAGUGGGGAAUAACUGUUGGAAACGACAGCUAAUACCGCAUAAUAUUGCUGGAUAAUUUCCAGUAAUGAAAGGAGCUUUCAAGCUCCGCUGAUUGAUGAGGAUGCGGCGCAUUAGCUAGUUGGUAGGGUAAUGGCCUACCAAGGCAAUGAUGCGUAGCCGAUCUGAGAGGAUGAACGGCCACAUUGGGACUGAGACACGGCCCAAACUUCUACGGAAGGCAGCAGUAGGGAAUUUUUCACAAUGGGCGAAAGCCUGAUGGAGCAAUGCCGCGUGACUGAUGAAGGUCUUCGGAUUGUAAAGGUCUGUUGUAAGGGAAGAAAUGGUAAAACAGGAAAUGGUUUUAUCUAUGACGGUACCUUACCAGAAAGCCACGGCUAACUAUGUGCCAGCAGCCGCGGUAAUACAUAGGUGGCAAGCGUUAUCCGGAUUUAUUGGGCGUAAAGGGUGCGUAGACGGUUUUGCAAGUCUGA